CAGGUAUCGAAGUAGAUGUUCCUCAUGCUGCAGUCUUCUUCAAAGGUGGAAUGCAGUGGCAUUUAGGGUGAAAGGCCUAUGUGGUACACCAGCUUUGGGUCUGCAGACAGUUCAUCCAGGAGCUGUUGCUGCUGUGUAAGGAUCGGACGAUCAACACCGGCGAUACAGGCAACAACAACAGAGCACGAAUAAAACAUGGCUGGCAUCCAGCCACUGUAUGAGGGUAGCUUUCUUUUAAAUAUUUUUUUCGCGUAUGCUAUUAUGUCAACAAACCAAUAGCAAGGUGAUUUCGUGAAGAAUAAGAUAUUUACAAAUUACAAAAGUUAUGUAUACCUAAGUUCAUAGCCAUGUCCCUGAAAGUCCCUGGUGUCGAGAUUACGCAUUCAGUCCGAAAUCAAAUGCGAAUGUGCUUCGGGAACUGAUUCGACCAAACAUGUCAUUUUCAUCCAAUGGCAUCACUUGCUUUGUGUGACAGCAAACAAAUGACAUACAAAUAAAUGACACUUACUGUAAAUGACAUUAGAUUUGCCCUGUGA
Long non-coding RNA from Rhipicephalus microplus (southern cattle tick), 536 nucleotides. The record is from RefSeq and is a predicted model, not a curated record. Lineage: Eukaryota; Metazoa; Arthropoda; Arachnida; Ixodida; Ixodidae.